AAAUCUGGAUUAAUACCCCAUGGCACAUAUUGAUGGCAUCUGAGAUAUGUUAAAGAUUUAUCGGUAUAAGAUGGGCAUGCGUCUGAUUAGCUAGUUGGCGGUGUAACGGCCCACCAAGGCGACGAUCAGUAGGGGUUCUGAGAGGAAGGUCCCCCACACUGGCACUGAGAUACGGGCCAGACUCCUACGGGAGGCAGCAGUAGGGAAUAUUGGGCAAUGGUCGGAAGACUGACCCAGCCAUGCCGCGUGCAGGAAGACGGCCCUCUGGGUUGUAAACUGCUUUUAUCUGGGAAGAAAAGGGCCAUGCGUGGCAAAUUGCCGGUACCAGAUGAAUAAGCACCGGCUAACUCCGUGCCAGCAGCCGCGGUAAUACGGAGGGUGCAAGCGUUGUCCGGAUUUAUUGGGUUUAAAGGGUGCGUAGGCGGCUGAUUAAGUCAGCGGUGAAAGACUUCGGCUUAACCGGAGCAGUGCCGUUGAUACUGGUU
RNAcentral lists this ribosomal RNA (485 nucleotides) under uncultured Algoriphagus sp. RNAcentral's name for it is "bacterial SSU rRNA". It matches the Rfam family "Bacterial small subunit ribosomal RNA", at positions 154 to 638 of the family's 1533-position model. Lineage: Bacteria; Pseudomonadati; Bacteroidota; Cytophagia; Cytophagales; Cyclobacteriaceae. The record is from RNAcentral.